Molecule: long non-coding RNA, 788 nt
Filed under: Equus caballus (horse)
Lineage: Eukaryota; Metazoa; Chordata; Mammalia; Perissodactyla; Equidae
Description: lncRNA (ENSECAG00000051932.1)
Source: RNAcentral
GGCAUCUUGAGAUGGCAAACAGUAAAUGUGCCUGUGUUAAUAACAACAAAAAUAAUUCUUUGUGCUCUACCCGUCUACUGAUUUUUACUUAUAAAAAUUAUGUUCAUUAGCUUUCCCCACCCGACCCAACAACCUGGUGAGUUUGGUGUGGGAGAUAUAUUUGGAAUGUAAGGAAACUGAAGCAUUGAGAACAAGAUGACCCUCCUUAGGACCCCAGCCAUAUACAGAUUUAUGGAUUUUCAUCCAAGGCAAAAAUGCAGGGCUGUUCGUACAGCUUAACUGGAGCUAUACUGGCAGAAAAUAAGGGCAGGAACCAAAGCUGCUGUCACAAAGAAAGGACUCUCCCAGUUCUCUAUUUGGUAUUUAAAAAUAGGAGAGAAAAUGGCAUAGCUUGAAUCUGAGAUAAUGCUUGCCACUUUGUGAAUGUUCUUACAGUGCAUUGCCUUCGAAACAAAUUGGCCCUCGUCUACAAAGGUUUCUUUUUUGUACUCUCACAAACUCAUUUUUAAUGGCUUGUAUGGCAUCAGUUGUGCCCCUGAGCUGUAAUGAAGCACUCUGCAAGUCACCACACGCGUCAGAAAUGAAUCUCAUGGAGGGGAAAAUGCUGGAGCAUUAAUAGGUUUUAAUCCAAGCGGUAAAUGGUACGAUACUCCCCCAUGAUGCUGGGCAGCAGCAGCAGCCACAGCUCCCAGUCAGCUACGAGAUCACCAAGGUCCACAACAGGUCACUGCCACAACACGGCUGAGUGGUGUAGGUCUGCACCUAGGAUCUGAACCUGCAAACCUGGG